UCAACUCAACUUUCUCAUUUUCACGCUCUCCAUUCUUUCCAUUUGUUUCUUUCUCAUGGCCGAAGAUCAAAUUCCAAAAUCCAAAUGGGAAGGCAAAACCUCUGCUGAUCUUGAAGGCUCAUCAGCUGGACAAGUUUGGCCUCUCCUGGCCGAUUUCUGCAGCAUACACAAGUGGUUCCCCGAUAUUGCCACGUGUUACCAAGUGGAUGGCGUCCCUGGCCAACCGGGUCUGAUCCGGUACUGCGCCCGUGCUCCUAUUGAUAAUGAUGAGUCCACCAUCAAGUGGGCCAAAGAGAAGCUACUGUCCCUUGAUCCAAUCCAACGGUGUUUGAGCUAUGAGAUUAUUGAGAGCAAUCUUGGGUUUAAGUCGUAUGUUGCGGUAAUGCAAGUAGUCCCGAUCAACGGCGGAGAUGGCAGCAUUGGGUGCAAGAUCGAGUGGUCGUUUGUUUGCGAUCCGAUUGAAGGGUGGGGAUUGAAUGAUUUUCGUUCAUACCUUGACUCUUCUCUUCAAUUGAUGGCAGAGAAGAUGAUGGAGCAUACUCUUCUAUCUACCACGGGGUAACAAUAAUUGUUGUUUGCUAAUAUUGUUGUGUUGGUGUGUUUAUAUAUUAUGUAAAUAAUUCCAAGACUAGAACGUUGUAGUAUGUUAAAUAAUUGAAUGUUUUAUUUCAAGUUAUGUUUUACAAUAAUGUUUUAUACAAAUGAUAUUAGAUAAUGAGAAUUAAACACGGUUUCGACAAAAAGUACCAUAGGUAAAGAAAAAAAAGGGCUUCUUAGAUUUAUGUCCAAAACGAUUAGCUGUAAUUGGGUUUAAUCCUUAUGUUUUUUGUUUUAGAUGUAAGUCCUUUGACAUUUAUUACUUUUUUUGUUGUGUCGAUUUUACCCUUUGAGGUAAAUAAGAAAAGCACAUUGAAAAUCUAAAUUUAAUGCAUUAUUUCUUUGUAAUUGAAUUCCUGAAUUUGGAAUUUGAAAAUUUUCCUUGAUAAUAUUCCUAAUAUAUGGAUAAAAUACAAUUUAAUCAAUAAAAAGUAAAGAUCCACAUAUUAUACCAAUCGAUUAGACAAGCACUCACAUUAAAUUAUGUACCUGACAUACAGGUAAAUAGUGUUAUUAUUAGCAACGAAAAAUACUUAGUGAUAAAUCAUGUUACCUAUAAGUUAUGAACAUAAAUUAGAAGACUACCUAUAAGUCAGAUACAAAAAUAGGCAAAAUAAAAAUUGUAUGUUACCUAUAAUUAAAAAAAAAGGUACAUAAAAUACUAUUACACAUUGUCAAAAUAUAUGAAACAACAUAUAUAUACCUAUGCAAUAGGCAAUAGGCAAUAUCACAUAAAUGAUUAUUACCCGACUCAAGUCAUAAGGGGCAACAUUGGACACAAAAAAUAAUUUUAAAAAUAAAAUAAUAAAAUAAUAUUUAAAAAUGAAAGUAAUUCUAUGUGGCACAUAAUUUUUCAAAAUGAAAAUAAUUCUAUGUAGCACAAAAGUCAAAGGACUUGGAUCAAAGUCACCAAAUCUGAGGAUUAAACCCAACUCCCCAACUCCUCAAUAGAAAUUUGGAUUUAUAUCAACUUUUCUAUAAAUUAAAAACGAAACAAUAGCUUUCAGCCAAGAUGAACAUUGAUCUAUAAUAUAUGACCAGAAUGAUCACAAAGCCACCGUGUAAAUUGAAUUCGUCUAGAGUAGAUUACAUUUGCUGGAAAUUUACAUUUGUCUAGAGUUGAUUAUCGCUUGUAUAAAAUAUAUAUAUAUAAUCUUUAAAAUAAAACUCCAAUUUUCUAAUGAUAAAAAAAGAAAAUAAAGCCCUAAUUGAACUAACGUGCAACUUAACAUCGUUAGUCUUUCUUCCUUUUUUUUUCUUUUUUUUUUGGUGAAGGAACGGGGCUAACGCCCAACAAAGAAAUUAAACAAUGGCACGAGGCCUACAGACUCCAAGUAAAUCCUCACUAAGAAAGGACCUAAUACUGUCAUGAGGGUCAUGGAAAGUUGACAGACCCAACCCAAGACAUGAACUCAAUUCAGCUAGUUUAUUUGCUACCAUGUUGCAUUCACGAUAUACAUGAUGAAUAGAACAAACCCAGUUUUUGUUUAUAUAGGCUUGGCAUCCCCACAACAUAGUAGCAAGAGGAUGAAAGUCUUCCACAUUUUUGUUAAGCAGGUGUACCGCAGUCGCUGAGUCAUACUCAAGCACAACUGCACUGCAACCUAUAUCCCAAGUAAUUUUCAGUCCAAGAUAGAUGCCCCAUAACUUAGCUUCCAAGACUUGUCCUACACCAAGAUUGACAGCAAAGCCUCUCAUCCACUGCCCAUAACUAUCUCUUAGUACACCCCCAGCAGCAAUGCGUCCAUCCUCACCUUUUCUGCACCAGUCGGUAUUGAUUUUAAUCACUCAUUCAUUCGAAUAUUGCCAAGAGAGCGGGUGGGUUUUCUAGUUUUUUCAAUAUUGGCCUGUGUCCAAUCUGCAGCAGCCAUAAGAAUGAUGUGUCUGGGGUUGUUGGGAAACACAAACCCAUGAUCAAAAAUAUUUUUGUUCCUCCAUUUCCAAAGAAACUAGCAAGUGAAAGCAAACAUGGUUGACCACUCCACUCCAUAAGUCAAAAUUGUAGAGUUGUGUAAAUUUUUUGCAACCCAAGUAUGAAGAUCAACAGCCUGCAGCAAACUCAUAUUCAUAGGCAUAAGGGACUGAUGCCAAACUGAAAUUGUCGCUGGGCAAUUCCGUACAAUAUGAGCUGCAUUCUCCAUUGGGGCACCACAAAUAUCACAAUUGGCAGUCAUGGUCAUCUUUCUUUUAACUCUUUGAUAAUUUGUUAAGAGUUUAUCUUGGUGCAGCAACCAAAGGAAAUAUUUAAUUUUGAGGGGGGCCUUAAUGUUCCAUAUAAAAGCCCAGCUAACAUCCAUACUCGACGACUCCCGACAAUUAGCCAUAUAUGCUGAUUUAACACUGAAAGAGCCAUUGGUAGUAUGCUUCCAAAUAGGAAUAUCUGAUUUACAACUUAAUCCAGCAGGUACACACGUAAUAUGACCUACCAUCUCAAGUGGUAAAUCUUCCUUUAGCUUUUCCAGGUCCCAAGUGCCAUGAAACAAAUAGUCAUAAACUUUCAAUUGUAAUUUAUCUUGAGGCACCCUCCCUAACCGACUUAUCAAUGGCCCAUCACCAACCCAAUUAUCUGUCCAAAAUAAAGUGUGCAACCCCUCUCCCGCUCUAAUUUUUAUCCUUUUUUUCAAAAUAUUUGCACCAUGUUCAAUAGCACGCCAUGUAGGAGAAAGAUGCGAGUGCUUUGCCCUUUCAUUGCAAAUAAUAUUAGAAGCAUUACCUUGUAGGUAUUUCUGAAUUAGAGCAUUUGACCAGAGGCUUUUCCUUGUGUUGCAAUAAUCUCCAUCCUACCUUGGCCAACAUAGAUUAGUUCAUAAGAUCAGAUUGCUUAAGACCAAGACCGCUUUUCUUCUUGCUUUUACAAAAUGUGUCUCACUUCACAAGGCUGGCCUUCGAAACAUCAUCACUACUCCCCCAUUAAAAAAAUUCUGUUUAUUUUAUCCAACUCCUCGUAGGUACUAGCAGGGAGCCGAACAAUUUGCAUAGUGUACAAAGAAAUGGAAGCAGUCACUGAUUGAAUUAAAGUUGCUCUGCCAGGAAAACUAAGCAACUUGCCUUUCCGAGUAGUAAGCUUUUGCUGCACUUUAUCCACCACACUUCAAUAAGUAGCCUUAUUUAGUCUUGUAUGAAUUAAUGGGACCCCCAGAUAUUUCCCAAGGUUCGAAGUCAAAGGAGAUUCACAAAUACUACUAAUCUCUGCAGCCAAACUAUUUGGAACAUUUGGGGAACAUAAUAUUUGGGACUUCUCAAAACUCAUGACCUGACCAGAAGCUCGGCAAAAUUUAUCAAGAUAUCUCUUCAUCACUCUUGCAUGUUGCGUGCUAGCUUCAGCAAAAAGGAGUAAAUCAUCCGCAAAACAAAGGUGGGAAAUCUUAGGACCAGUUCUAGAGAUACUGACUGCUCGCCACUCCUUUUUUUACAACAGCCUCACUAAUUAGAUGGGAUAAUUUCUCAAGACACAACACAAACAAAUAAGGGGAGAGGGGGUCCCCUUGUCUCAGUCCUCUUUCAGGAGCAAAGAAAGGAGUAGCUUCACCAUUCAAAUUUACUUGGAAGUGAACCGUGGUAACACAUUGCAUGAUAAUCUUGAUUGUAGCCGCUGGGAGUUUGAUUUCUCUAAGCACAAAUUCCAGAAAACCCCAGUUGACUCUGUCAUAAGCCUUAGAAAGAUCAAUUUUCCAAGCAACAAACCCUUUCUUCCCUUUGGAGUGUCUAAAUUUAUGAAGGAGAUCUUACACUAGAACAAUGUUGUCAGAGAUUAGUCUUCCAGCGAUGAAACUAGCCUGAUUAGGACUGAUCAAAGUUUUAAGUAGAGGUCUUAGCCUAUUUAUUAAAAUCUUUGAAAUGGUCUUGUAGAGGGUGUUACACAAACUAAUUGGCCUCAUUUGCACCAUAGACCUAGUCACCUUUGGGACAAGAACAAUUAAAGUCCUAAUGAGAUCAUAUGGGAUUUCUCCAGUAGUAAAAACUUGCUUUACCAAAUCACACACCUCAGCACCACAUAUUUCCCAGCACUGUUGGUAAAAGCAUGUAGCAAAGCCAUCUGGACCAGGUUUGGAAAAUAAUGGAUAGCAAUAUUUUUCAGGCCCUCUUUAUCAGUCACCCAGUUCCCAUCGUCAUCUUUGAGACCAAGAAUUUUGUUUCUUUUGGGUCGAACCACCGUCGUCAUGUGAAAAAAUUUAGUAUUUCUAUCCCCAUCUUUGUGCCAGUUGGCUCUUGAUUUUUGCAUCCACAACAACUCUUCUUGAUCAAGAAUUUGUGAAAAAGUAUAAAACGAACCAAAUGAGACAAAUGGUACCAAUAACAAAGCCUGAACCCAAAAACCAAUUGUGAAGAAGACAAAUGGUGGGCAUCUCAGCUGUUGCUAUUCUUAUGGAAAUAGAAACGGUCUUGCUAUUCUAAAAAAAAAGAAAGAAGAAGGAAAAAAGAGAAGACUACACUGAUCAUUAUUAUUUUUUUUAAAAAAAAAUUUCGUUGUCGGGAGUUCAACCUAGAUGAUAAACUCAAUCUAUUUUAUUGGGCUACAGCAGAUUGACUGUUAUUAAUUGGGAAUAAAAGUUAUAUAAAUGAAAAUUACUAGGCAUAUAUCAUUAGGCAUAAAAUUAAGAGAUAAAAGAAAUUGAAAAUAAUAAAAGGUUUUUCCGCUGCCGGGAGUUGAACCCGGAUGAUAAACUCAAUCCAUUUUAUUGGGCUACAGCAGAUUGGAUGUUAUUUAUUGGAAAUAAAAGUUAUAUAAAUAAGAAUUACUAGGCAUAUAUCAUUAGGCAUAAAAUUAAGAGAUAAAAGAAAUUGAAAAUAAUAAAAGGUUUUUCCGCUGCCGGGAGUUGAACCCGGAUGAUAAACUCAAUCCAUUUUAUUGGGCUACAGCGGAUUGGAUGUUAUUGAUUGGGAAUAAAAGUUAUAUAAAUGAAAUUUACUAGGCAUAUAUCAUUAGGCAUAAACUUAAGAGAUAAAAGAAAUUGAAAAUAAUAAAAGGUUUUUCCGCUGCCGGGAGUUGAACCCGGAUGAUAAACUCAAUCCAUUUUAUUGGGCUACAGCGGAUUGGAUGUUAUUUAUUGGGAAUAAAAGUUAUAUAAAUGAAAAUUACUAGGCAUAUAUCAUUAGGCAUAAAAUUAAGAGAUAAAAGAAAUUGAAAAUAAUAAAAGGUUUUUCCGCUGCCGGGAGUUGAACCCGGAUGAUAAACUCAAUCCAUUUUAUUAGGCUACAGCGGAUUGGAUGUUACUGAUUGGGAAUAAAAGUUAUAUCAAUGAAAAUUACUAGGCAUAAAAUUCAGAGAUAAAAGAAAUUGAAAAUAUAAAGGGCUCGUUUGGUACACAGGACUGUCUUGGCAUGGACUAUGUUUAGGGACUGGUUUGGCUUGGCUUGGCUUGGUCUAAGUUGGAUAACAUUUAUCCUGCGUUUGGUGUAUGCUUGGACUAUGACUAGAAUUUUUUUUAUUUUUUCAAAAAUAUCUAUAUAUAUGUAUAUAUGUAUUUUAUAAUAUAUAUAAUAUAUAUGUAUAUAUACAUACAUAUAAUAUAUAUAUGUAUAUAUACAUGUAUAUAAGUAUAUUAUAAUAAUAUUAUAUAUUUUAAAUAAUAUAAACGUACAUACAUAUAUAUAUAAGUGUAUAUAGGUGUAUAUAUGUAUAUUAUAAUAUACAUGGGUAUAAUACAUAUACAUAUAUUUAUAUAUAUGUAUGUAUAAUAUAAUAUAUAAUAUAUAUGGGUAUGUUAUAAUAAUAAUAAUAAUAUACAUGUAUAUACGUGUAUAUACAUAUAUUAUAUAUGUAUUUAUAUAUACAUAUACAUUAUAUAUAUUAUAAAAUACAUAUGUAUAUAUAAUAUAUGUAUAUAUUAUAUAUUAUAAUAUACAUAUAUAUAUACGUAUAUACAUGUAUAUAAUAUAUGUGUAUAUAGGUGUAUCUAUAUAUUAUAAUAUAUACAUGGGUAUAAUACAUAUACAUAUAUAUGUAUAUUAUAAUAGAUAAUAUAUAUGGGUAUGUUAUAAUAAUAAUAUACAUGUAUAUAUGUAUAUUAUAAUAUAUAUACAUAUAGUAUAAAUAUAUAAUGUAUAUGUGUAUAUACGUGUGUAUAUGUAUAUUAUAAUACAUACAUGGGUAUAAUAUAUAUACACAUAUAUGUAUAUAUACUUAUAUAUAUUACAUAUAUACAUGUAUGCUAUUAUUAUAAUAUUAAUAUGUAUGUGUAUAUGAGUAUAUUAUAAUAAUAAUAUACGUGUAUAUAUCUAUAUGUAUUUAUAUAUUAUAUAUGUAUAUAUGUGCCUAUACAUAUCUGUAUCUACGUGCAUAAAUCCACAUUAAUGUAUGAUCAUAACAUAUAUUACAUAUAUACAUAGUAUGUAAUAGUAUAACAUUACUAUGUAUGCGUAUAUGAGUAUAUUAUAUAAUUAAAGGAUGAGGACCGAUCUAUCUGCAAAUAUAUAUANNNNNNNNNNNNNNNNNNNNNNNNNNNNNNNNNNNNNNNNNNNNNNNNNNNNNNNNNNNNNNNNNNNNNNNNNNNNNNNNNNNNNNNNNNNNNNNNNNNNNNNNNNNNNNNNNNNNNNNNNNNNNNNNNNNNNNNNNNNNNNNNNNNNNNNNNNNNNNNNNNNNNNNNNNNNNNNNNNNNNNNNNNNNNNNNCUAGCUAAUCCUCCCUUUCUACAUGGGUUUAGUAGUCCCCUCCUAGUGAGGUAUUUUUGGUGGGCCCGGUAUUAGCAAUCUCAUCUAAGACUAGAAUUAAAUGAAACAAACAUGGUACUAAAUUUAGUCCAAUCUAGUCCAAGCCAAGCCUGUGUACCAAACGACCCCAAGGUUUUUCCGCUGCCGGGAAUCGAACCCGGAUGAUAAACUCAAUCCAUUUUAUUGGGCUACAGCGGAUUGGAUGUUAUUGAUUGGAAAUAAAAGUUAUAUGGGUUAAUGACCUAAAUGGUCUUCCAAUUAUUGCUCCAUUAUCAUUUUGGUCCAUCAACUAAAAUUUUCAAUUCAAACGUCCUUAAACUAUUUAUUUUGUACCAAGAUGGUCCAUCCGUCAAAGUCUGUGUAUUAUUCCGUGAAAUCGAGGGACAAAACUGUAUUUUUAGGUGAGUAUCCUCCUCUAAAAGGGUUAUUGAUCCCAAUGGUCCCCCAACUAUUACUCCAGUAUCAUUUUAGUUCACCAACUAAAAUUUUCAUUUGAACCGUCCUUCAACUUUUUUUUUUUUUUUUUUUGUAUCAAGGAAACUAUUAUAAAACUUAAAAAAUUUUAAAAAAUUGAAUCUCACUAGCUACAUGGCUUUUUUUUUUUGGUGAGACUGACCUAACAAUUAAUAAUAAAAAUUAUUUAUUGUUUAAAUUAAUUAAAAUCACACACACACACACAUAUAUAUAUAAUAACAAAUUUUUUAAAAGAGCAAACAAUAAUUUAAAAUUAAAGGAAACUAUUAUAGGAACUUGUACCUAAUUUUAAAAUUGAAAAAGUUGAAUCUCACCACCAACAUGGUUUUUUAUUUUAUUUUAUGACAUGGACUUAAAAAGUAAUAUUUUUUUUUCUCUAUUGUUUAAAGUAAUUAAAAAUUUUAAAAUAAGAUAAAUACAAAAAUAAAUAACAAUAAAAUUGACGGACUUUGACAGUAGGACCAUCUUGAUACCCAAAAAAAAAAAAAAAGUGGAAGGACGGUUCAAAUGAAAAUUUUAGUUUGUGGACCAAAAUGAUACUGGAGCAAUAGUUGAGGGACCAUUUUAGUCAUACCCUUCGAUAGAGCUUCUCAAAAAGUCGCAUAUACCCUUCAAAACUUAGUCACGUGGCCAUCGCGUGAUCAGAAAUAAUGGAAUCUGUCAUGAAUGGACCAUUUUUGUACAAAAUAAAAAGUUUAAGGACGUUUGAAUUGAAAAUUUUAGUUGGUGGACCAAAAUGAUAAUGGAGCAAUAGUUGGGGGCCCAUUUAGGUCAUUAACCCAAAGUUAUAUAAAUGAAAAUUACUAGGCAUAUAUCAUUUGGUAUAAAAUUAAGAGAUAAAAGAAAUUGAAAAUAAUAAAAGGUUUUUCGGCUGUCGGGAGUUGAACCCGGAAGAUAAAUUCAAUCCAUUUUAUUAAGCUAGAGAGGAUUGGAUGUUAUUAAUUGAGAAUAAAAGUUAUAUAAUCAUCUGUACCUUUGUAAGUGGUAGCUAAAAGUUAUUAAUUGAUGAGGUUGUUUUGGUAAAUCUCUUAUGACAUAUCCCAACUUCCAUUCCACUCCACUCAAGACAUAUCACAUAUUGGAAUCCAAAAAAAAAAGAAUAUUUUGACAUUUGUGGUUGAAAGUUGAGUUGAGUGAGUUGUGAUGAGCUAGCACUCAACUCAACUUUCUCAUUUUCACGCUCACCAUUCUUUCCAUUUGUUUCUUUCUCAUGGCAGAAGAUCAAAUUCCAAAGUCCAAAUGGGAAGGCAAAACCUCUGCUGAUCUUGAAGGCUCAUCAGCUGAACAAGUUUGGCCUCUCCUGGCCGAUUUCUGCAGCUUACACAAGUGGUUCCCCGAUAUUGCCACGUGUUACCGAGUGGAUGGCGUCCCUGGCCAACCGGGUCUGAUCCGGUACUGCGCCC
This 9124-nucleotide long non-coding RNA is filed under the name Prunus persica (peach). Its description in RNAcentral is "long non-coding RNA (PPER_LNC001467)". Lineage: Eukaryota; Viridiplantae; Streptophyta; Magnoliopsida; Rosales; Rosaceae. The record is from RNAcentral.